GACGAACGCUGCCGGCGUGCCUAAUACAUGCAAGUAGAACGCACAGUUUAUACCGUAGCUUGCUACACCAUAAACUGUGAGUUGCGAACGGGUGAGUAACGCGUAGGUAACCUGCCUGGUAGCGGGGGAUAACUAUUGGAAACGAUAGCUAAUACCGCAUAAUAUUGAUUAUUGCAUGAUAAUUGAUUGAAAGAUGCUAUUGCAUCACUACCAGAUGGACCUGCGUUGUAUUAGCUAGUAGGUGAGGUAACGGCUCACCUAGGCGACGAUACAUAGCCGACCUGAGAGGGUGAUCGGCCACACUGGGACUGAGACACGGCCCAGACUCCUACGGGAGGCAGCAGUAGGGAAUCUUCGGCAAUGGACGAAAGUCUGACCGAGCAACGCCGCGUGAGUGAAGAAGGUUUUCGGAUCGUAAAGCUCUGUUGUAAGAGAAGAACGGGUGUGAGAGUGGAAAGUUCACACUGUGACGGUAUCUUACCAGAAAGGGACGGCUAACUACGUG
Molecule: ribosomal RNA, 505 nt
Filed under: uncultured bacterium
Lineage: Bacteria
Description: partial 16S ribosomal RNA
Rfam family: Bacterial small subunit ribosomal RNA
Source: RNAcentral